This is a long non-coding RNA of Gastrolobium bilobum, 4992 nucleotides long. RefSeq lists it as uncharacterized. The transcript has 4 exons. NCBI's taxonomy places the organism in Eukaryota, Viridiplantae, Streptophyta, Magnoliopsida, Fabales, Fabaceae. The record is from RefSeq and is a predicted model, not a curated record.
GUAGCGUGGGGAAUGAAAUUUAAGACAUUGAGUCUCAAGCACAAUUUGGUGAUCACUACCUGGAUUCUGAAUUCAUGGAUUUGUCUUUUCUUUCUUUGUGGAUUCUGAGCGUUUUUUUCUGUUUACUUUUCGAUGAUUUCCGCUUGCAUCUUAUAGGGAAGACAAUCAAUGAAUGUAUGAUGGGCUAGAGGUGGUUGAGAGAGCAUUGAUGGACUUGCCGUUCGUCUUUAGGUGUUAUUACCGUUAGCAUUGAUGGAAUCGCAGUAUUCAAAUUAAAUUGUGAACCUGCUUUCCUGCAGUCGAAAGCAUCGAGUCUCCACCGCAAUUUGGUGAUCUCUAUCUGGGUUCUGAAAUUCAUGGAUUUGUCUUUUCUUUCUUGCUUUGUGGAUUCUGAGCGUUUUCUCGGUUUAUGUUUUCUCGGUUGAAUGUGUGAUGGGCUGUGGAAGAGGUGGUUGAGAGAGCAUUGAUGGACUUGACGUUCGUCUUUAGGUGUUAUUACUGUUAGAACUGUCAUUUUAAUUUUCUGUUUUUUAUUUUAUUUUUGAUGUUUUUGUUGUGGAUUUGGGUUGUCUUCUGGCUGGGUUCUGGAUUUUGAUUGUUUUGGCAGUGUACGAUAACUUGGCAGCGUCGGAUUCUUUGUGUUUAGGGCGCAAGAGAUUACACAUUUUCCGAAAAGCUGUAUAUUUCUUUGCCUUCUUGGGACAGUUUGUAAUAGGAUUUGAACUGCUUGCUUUCAUUCGUUUGCAUCACAUUGGAGUAUGGAAGUUUUCUGUUUGCAAGCGUUGCCAAUUAAAGAUUUGAUCAUGAAGAAAUUUCUACCAUUCUUGAUACAGCGGACCAGAACGCCAACAACUCAGGAUUACUAAUUUAGUACCUUCGAUUAGUUAUUCUCUCUUUAUUUUCUGGCUUUGAAUGAGACAUACGGAUUAAUUUGUGAACCGGUUUUUCUGCAGCACAUUGCUUUGAAUGCAUGGACCCUGCGUUCAUAAUUCGGUGAUCUCUACCUAGAUUUUAAAUUCUUGGAUUUGUCAUUUUGUUUCCAUUUUUUUUUUUUGGUCGGUUCUGAGCGGUUGGUUGUUUUGAUUUACCACAUCUACAUGAUUUAUUCUUGGGUGUUAUAGGGAAGAUAAUCAUGACAGUAAAUAUUUUGCCGAUUGUUAUCCUUUUGUCGGAUUGAAGAUCUCAAGAAAUUGAUACUUCUCGGACUCCUCUUGUUUUGUCAAUUAUUGUAAUAUCAUUCUUCAUUUGGUCAUAUGGUGUUGUAGGUUGUGAACUGCUUGUGUUCAUCCGGAUAUGAGUUUUGUGUUCUUAGGCGUUGCCAAUUAAAAGAUUGGAUAAUGAAGAAAUUUCUUCCUUUCUUGAUACAUCAAAUCAGAACUGCUAACAGCUCAUGAUUAUUUAGUUUUCCUUCAAUGAGUUGAUCUGUAUUUUUUUAAUUUUAUGGCUUUAAUCAGGAGGCAUAUGGUUUAAAUUCUGAAUCUGUUUUCCUGCAGCGUAGUGCUUCGAAUGUAAUCGUCUGUCAUGCAUAAUUUGGUGAUCUACCUGGAUUCUUAAUUCUUUGAUUUGUCUUUCCGUUUCUAUCAAUCUUUAUCCCUUCUGAUUGUUUACUUUUCUCAAUUUACUUUUCUAUCCUGCUUGGUUGUUAUAGGGAAGCUAAUCAUCUAUGUGUUCUAGGCUUUCGAAGCAGUGGCUGAGAGUAUUGACGGGCUUUCUGUUCGGCUUUAGGUUUUAUUACCAUUAAUAUCAGUUUCUUUUUUUAUUUGAAUGAGGUCGUUCUGGAUUCCGUUAUUUUGACGGUGAACGCUAACUUGGUGGUGUUGGAAUUCUUGUAUGUUUCUGUAUCAGGACUAUGAUUUUUAAAGCGCUGGAGUUUACACGUUUCAUUUCCUUCCUUUUCGGGAGGAAUUUGGGAUAGUUUGGUUAAGGCCCUUACCUCAGAUGAUCUGUGUUGUGUCAUGCUGCACGGUGGUAAUAAGCUUAAAUUGUUUGCUUCGAUUUUAUAUUGAGCACCUGAGUCUGCAGGCAGAUGGAAAUUUGGUCUAAACAGGGAUGAAGCAGCAUCUUCCGCAUGGUUGUAUCAUAUUAUAGUCAGUAUUGUUUUUUAAUGAAACUUUUAAGAUAUUAUUUUUUAUCAUCAAACUGUUCUUUUAUAUGUAAUUUUUUUAAUAAUUUCUUACAUUGAUUAUGGUUUAUUUAUAUGGUCCUCUAUAUCCUUUUAAAACUAAGUAUUGGCGUUUGUUAAUUCCAAUUCUUAACUAUUCAAAUUGAUGAAAGGACUUUAACGAAUUUUCUGUUGAUCUAGGUGUUGAACUUCUUGGGUUUAUUAGUUUGCAGUAUUUUGUGGUCUGGAAAUGUAUUUAUGUUCUUAGGCAUAGCCAAAAUGAAGACUGGGUUUUAAGAAUGUUCUUCUAUUAUAUGUGCAGAGGUUUUUAUCAGAUGAAAGCGGCAAAGAGCUCUGCAUUAUUUGAUUUUACUUUUAGAUGAGUUUGUUUUGUAUUGUUUUUGUUUUCUGGAAUUGGUAGCCAUGAAUAUUAAUUGAAUUGUGAACUUGGUUUUGUACAGCUUAGUGUUUCUAACUAUUUAAUGUGAUAUUAGUGGUAUGUGUAUCUCGAUUGUUGUCUUUCUUGCACGGGUUUUUUGUGUUCAGGAUUAGAGCAGUAAUGCGUAUUGUUCUCUUCAGUAUACAAUAUGUGAAGAGCUCCGUGUUGAAGACUCAUCUUUAGUGUGCAGUUUUCGAUGAUUUGCCAUCCUUUCUAGCUACUCUGUCAUUUUCAUAGCCAAAAUGUUAUGUCUUGCCAGUUUGGUAUGUGCAGUAAUAGAAGCUUUUUAUCGGUAUCUGUUACAUAGAGCAAUAAGAGAUUAAUGGAUUGUAAUAUUUCCGGGAGAUCAGCUACAUUGGUUGCCCAUUGAUUGGCAUUUUACGGGGUUUUUAAUCCGAACUUUGAGAAUUUUUUAUCAAGUGAAGCGUGCAGCAUAUGCUUAUUUUGGUAAAUGUGUCUUAUCUUGGAUGCAAGCCUUCUCUGAGGAUGUUUCUUAUUUGUUAUUCUUUUGUUUGUAAUUUAUAUUGAGUUUACUUUUUUAUUUUUUGGGAAUUGAUGGUUACUUGAUGAUGUAGUAUUCUAUUGUGGAUGUUUGAUCAAUUGUACCCGAUGUUUUGGAUGUUUUCUUAAGCUGUGAUUUGUGUUUCAGAUUGGUUUAUUUUUAUUUUUUUGUGGGCAUAUUUUAUGGAGUUUUGAAGGAUUAGUAUGGCUCUGUUCUCCUUUAUAGGUGUGAAAUAUAAGUUUUUUUUAAAAAAGCCUUCACAUAAGCACGUUGUUGGGGUUAAAAAUCUAGUUCUUUGUUUCAUGUAGUAUUCGAUGUUUGGGUUUUGUAUCCUGUAUUGUAUUGUGUAUCUUACAGAUGACUUAAAAAAUGUUUACCACUCAUUAUCGCUCUUUUGCAAAUAGUCCUAUGUGUUCAUGUAUAGUGUAUUGGGUUUUUUAUUCUUAAUUUUUUUAACUCCGCCUAUGUAUGAUCAUCUAUAGAUUUCAGUGAUCCUUUGAUAUCAUAUUACAUCCACUUGAAUUAGGAAUACGGGAGAAUUCACUCUCUCUAAUUUAAGUAGGUGUAGUAUGUUUUAUUGGAGUAUUGAUAAUUUAUUUGUAUGACUACAUAGCCUGUCCCAAGCCAGGAUAAAGGAGGAUGGUUUGUGGCAUAAUGAGUUUAUAUAAAAGCAAUUAACAUUUGUUCUCAACAGGAGAGUUCGAUUCAAUGUUUGUGCUUGUAGAAUGUAUAGGUCAUUUUAAGCUAAUUUUCUACGAACAAUUUUUGUUGUUAAAUCCAUUAACUGUUCAUCUUUGCCAUAAGAAUCUUGGUCUUAGCAAGGAGGUGGUUAGUAUCAUUUUACAAUACAAUUAUAUGAUGACAUUACGUUGUUUAAUUUAGUAUCGCUUUUUUUUAUACUAUAGUUGGUCUUAACUCUCUAUAAAUUAGCCACACAUACAAACAAAAAAGAAAAAAAAAAACAAUUUGAGAUAACAUCAGGUAAAUUUGUGGAACUUAAAAACCCUUUCGUGUUAGUUGAUACUCAUUUGCUAAAUUUUGAGAUUUGAAUUUUUUGAAUUUUUAGUAAGGGGGAUUGUACAUGUGAAUGUAAAUGCUACUGUAUAAUGGAGAUUUUGUUUGAAAGUGGGUAAAUAUUGAGUGCACAACUAGAUGCAUUUAGAAUUUAUGAAGGAAGGGAAUAAGAUCAUUGAAGGGAUCCUGUAGCGAAGUCGUAUUUUCGUGUGGGGUGUACAUGUGUUCUUGUCUGUACCUAGGGUUAAGCUAUUUUGGGAUUUGUGUUUUUGUUUGUGUAUGUACAACUCAUUUGUAAGUGUCCAUUAAGCCUAGAAGAUACUAUUAUUUUAUUUUAAUUUAAAACACAAACAGAACCAGAAUUUAGAUGUAUGAACCUAACUUUUAAUAGUUCAUAAAAACAGAAUCGUACGUUGAAAUGUAAGUUUCUUAUCAUUAACGGUAUCAAUAUUGAUAUUGUCGACAACAAUGGGAUCCAAAGAUCCUCAGGAGAGACUUUGUUUUGGUUGAGUUCAAGCCUUAUAAUCGGGAAAGUUUUCACAGCGUGAAACAAGGUAUAUUGAGGUAAGAAUGAUGUUCAAAAAGUUAAAAUUUAGUUUAUGUAUAUCUGGAUUAUUAGUGCUUACUAAUGUUAACGUACUUAUGUGAUGUACAGAAGUACUGUCCAAAUGAUGAUUUCGUAGUCUCAAAUUUUUAUACACGUUGAAGGAUCAAUGUAUGUUGGAAUUCAUUACAGCUUGUUGAGAUUAUUAAAUUUAUUAUAAAACUCUUAUUACAUGUAUUUUUCAUUAUGUCAUUGUUCCAGGUACCGAGCCAGUACAUAAUUUUUUUUUAAUUAUGGUGGGAUGAUGUAUUGUCCCAAGUUAUUAUAAGAAUAUGUUGUAACCAUUACUAUAAGAAUAUGUUUAAUCAGACUAUUAUGAUUUAUGACUUUAU